RNAcentral lists this ribosomal RNA (481 nucleotides) under uncultured bacterium. Its description in RNAcentral is "partial 16S ribosomal RNA". It matches the Rfam family "Bacterial small subunit ribosomal RNA", at positions 30 to 505 of the family's 1533-position model. The record is from RNAcentral.
AUUGAACGCUGCGGCAGGCCUAACACAUGCAAGUCGAGCGGAUGAAGGGAGCUUGCUCCUGGAUUCAGCGGCGGACGGGUGAGUAAUGCCUAGGAAUCUGCCUGGUAGUGGGGGAUAACGUCCGGAAACGGGCGCUAAUACCGCAUACGUCCUGAGGGAGAAAGUGGGGGAUCUUCGGACCUCACGCUAUCAGAUGAGCCUAGGUCGGAUUAGCUAGUUGGUGGGGUAAAGGCCUACCAAGGCGACGAUCCGUAACUGGUCUGAGAGGAUGAUCAGUCACACUGGAACUGAGACACGGUCCAGACUCCUACGGGAGGCAGCAGUGGGGAAUAUUGGACAAUGGGCGAAAGCCUGAUCCAGCCAUGCCGCGUGUGUGAAGAAGGUCUUCGGAUUGUAAAGCACUUUAAGUUGGGAGGAAGGGCAGUAAGUUAAUACCUUGCUGUUUUGACGUUACCAACAGAAUAAGCACCGGCUAACUUCG